UACGUAGGUGGCAAGCGUUGUUCGGAUUUACUGGGCGUACAGGGAGCGUAGGCGGUUGGAUAAGUCCUCCGUGAAAUCUCCAGGCUUAACCUGGAAAGUGCAGAGGGGACUGUUCAGCUAGAGGAUGGGAGAGGAGCGCGGAAUUCCCGGUGUAGCGGUGAAAUGCGUAGAUAUCUGGAGGAACACCGGUGGCGAAGGCGGCAUCCUGGACCGGCAUUGACGCUGAGGCGCGAAAGCUAGGGGAGCAAACGGG
Molecule: ribosomal RNA, 253 nt
Filed under: uncultured bacterium
Lineage: Bacteria
Description: partial 16S ribosomal RNA
Rfam family: Bacterial small subunit ribosomal RNA
Source: RNAcentral